Molecule: long non-coding RNA, 2321 nt
Organism: Sorghum bicolor (sorghum)
Lineage: Eukaryota; Viridiplantae; Streptophyta; Magnoliopsida; Poales; Poaceae
Exons: 2
Source: RefSeq, a predicted model, not a curated record
GGAAACAAACAGACACCGUCAUCCCCUCCUCGAUCCCCUCCACCUUCCUGCGAACGCACGCGCCUCGCCUCCUCACCUCGCCCGCAAGCCUCGCCCGCCAGCGUCGUCCGCCGUGCUCUCGCCUCGCCCACCGAGCCCCGUCCGCCGCCGAGCGCCUCGCCCGCCAAGCGCCGCCUCGCCUCCCCGUGCGACCGUCGAGCGUGCGCCGCCGAAGUUGCGUGCGCCCAGGGGCCGACUGCGCGCGCCGUGAAGCCGGCCGCAAUCCGCGUCGGGGAGCCGGCCGUGCCUGUGACGGGGAGCAGACGCGCUGCCCCUCGAUCUUUCAGAUGAGCACUUCGGUGGUGUGGCCGUGGCGUGCGCCGUUGGCGGGCCCUGGGCUCGCUCGACUGCGACCACUGCUGCCCGGACCUCGCGACCUGGCUCUUCGCCGCGCACGCGAGCACCGCGCUGUCCGUGCCCUCGGCCCUGCACCGUCAGCGGCUCAGCGCUCGGCCGGAGAGGAGAGGCUGGGGCCCAGCGACGACGGGCUCAUGGUGCCAUACGACAACCAGGGUGCGUGUGCGUGGACAAACUAGGCGCCACGCUAGAGAAGCGCGGGUGCCGCUGCCCCGGCCCAACGCGACGUGCGACACGGUGCUCUGCUUCUGCGGUAUCCGACUCCACCAGAUCGGCCAGCUCCACUGCCCCGCCACGUUUUCCGUCGGUGCUGGUGCCGCGGCCAAGAACGCCACGCCCACUGAAGUGGUGAAGGACCUGGAGAAGAGAUGCAGUAAUGCCUCCUAUGCCGGCUGGUAUCGAUGCGUGCAGUUCCUGCAAUAGCCUGCAUUGAUUUCUUCUGAAGAUGCUCAUGGUGACCACGAAGUAACAUUACUUGGAAACGUGCAAUUUAUGGCAGGAUGAUCGGGGGUGACAGAUUAGAACUGUAUCUAUGAAAGCGAUUUAUUUUAUAUAUCUAUGCCUAAUAUGUUCCAAGUUUCAAGCUUUGCAUUGGCCACUCUAACAUGCAUUGGGAACUGCAUAUCCAUCAGACCAUCACAAGCUCAACUAAAUAACCAGUGCACAUUACGCUUGCACAUUCCAUCAGAAGAUGGCCAAACACUGGCCCAAAUUCAUUAUAGGGACCGCAUGGGAGGUGCAGGAAGGAGGAAGGAAUGGGUAGGAGAGCAAGGUUCUAGACAAGGGGAAGACACUAACAAGGGCAAGAAAGAGUGAGUAGCAUGACCUGAAAUCUUGUGGUAUUUCCUUUCUUUUUCAACUUCUUGAUAGAUGUUUCCACUAAUCAUCAAUUUACUUAUGGCAAACAUGGCAAUAUUGUGAUAGCAUUUACCAUUUGAAGAAUGCCUUUUAUUUUUCUUCUUUGAAAAAAUGAAAUUAGUGGAUAGUAGUCACUAAUGCUUUGCUGUAAAUAAGCUUCCAGUUAUGAUCUGCCACGCCUUUUCUUUUAAAACGUUGAUACUAAUAUGUGGAAAAGUACGAGUUUCUUUUGAAUACAAGGUGCAUAUGAUUUUGUUGAUUGGAUCCCUCAACCAUCAUCGACAUAGCAGAUCAUUCUCCUACUGCAUAUAAGGUGCUCGAGGAACUAGCGUCACCUUUGACACAUUUGCCUUUGCCAAGCAUAAAACUAUGGUCAGUGCAUUAUCAUUGGUUAUUGUCGGAUAUUGUAAAUAGUUAGCACAAGAAAUCAAACAACGACAGAAACAGCCUAGCUAGCCUCACAUCAGUUCUUUAAAAUAUUAAUUUUUCUACAAGAGUAGUUUAUUUAUUUCUAUAAUAGUGCAUGAGUAUCUAUUUAUUUCUAUAAUAGUGCAUGAGUAUCAUGGUUUCUCCAUUGAUUCUGGCUACUUUUUAGGUCUAGCAAUAGUUAAACGUCUAUUUGAUUGAGUUAUCAUAGCUCUAAGUUGUUAAUGACAUUGUUUUUACAUUACUGAAUUUUUCAGCUAAUGAGAUUGUGCACUAAAUCUGAAGGAUGCCUAAUAAUUUAUUGAUUUGGUUACUACAUGCAGUAAAAUUGGGAACCUUUAACAGGUGGGUCCAUGGCAGUGACACAGGUAAGUGAGAUGGUUGGGAUGGGGUGAGGUACGGUCUCAGAUAACAGGGGUGAUCAUGUUUUAUUAUGGCUUAUGGAAGGGUAAAACAAGGCGCUUAUAAUUGUGGGAUUGGUGUUAGAUGGCUAAAAACAAGACACAGUUUUGGGAUGAGAAACAGUUACGGGAUUGUCGGUGUCAGAUGCUUAGCAUGUUGAUUAUUUGAUUAUUAUAAUGUGAAUGUCGUAGCAAAUGAUCAUUUUUUUAUCAUCAGCCUAUUGAACUUUUUGACCAAUA